Molecule: non-coding RNA, 2507 nt
Organism: Pocillopora verrucosa
Lineage: Eukaryota; Metazoa; Cnidaria; Anthozoa; Scleractinia; Pocilloporidae
Source: RefSeq, a predicted model, not a curated record
CAAACCGGAUGUUCAAAAAUUCGUGGGGUUUGGUUGCUAUGGUGUGACGUCAUGAUCCGGCUCAGUAGCUAUCAUCGCUUUCGAUUUGUGGUUUCAACAGGGGAGCGUUCGGUGAUUACAUUAACACCGUUGUGUACAACCUCCAAUGGCGUCAAUCCCAUUUAUUUUGAGGGGCUGGAUUUUUCUUCUGACAUUUCUUGAGGUUGAAUUUCAGACAUUACUCACAAGAGCGGGAAAUUUGUUCUCAUUUCGAUCAGGUGCUGUGCGGCAUGGAUGCCUUCGAUAUUCGAAGAGCUGAAUUGCUGCACUCCACGAGCGAUUCGAGGGACUGGUAUCUCCUGAAUUCCAAAAUAUGCGGCAUUCCUGUAGGAAAAUUCAUGUCGAGUAGCCCUUUGGUGUCAAGCUUUCCAAAAGAAUUUAACACAGUGCAGCUCUCGAAUCUUAAAAAUGGCGGGCACUUGGAUCGACGACUAGUUCACAAAGAAGAGGUAUUCAUAGCCUCUUCUUUCGACGUUGUUUCCGCGAUACUUCGGCAAAAAAUAAAAGCGGGCGAAGAAGAAAAGUACAGUGGGUUGAUUGAUGGCAUCAACAGCCUAAAUAUUGGCCAAGAUAAUGAAGAUUGCCAAACAGCGACUGACACACGUGACAACAACAAGGACAAAAUUCAUGACCCGGUACAAACAGUAUUUGGAGUCGAUUCAAGGUCAGCCAUAUCCAUAGAGAAUAUCGAGAAGAGUCAAGAUGAAAAUCUUAAGCUUAAGGCUAAACUUGAAGUUGUGCUUCCCCAGUUAGAGGCCCUUCGAGAUGAGGUGAAAAACGGCGGUCAAUCGACGCUGAGCUCAGGCACACAGGACCCGGCAAAGGACAACCCGGACAGUACAAGCGAUAUGUGGACCUUGAUCGGCGAUGUUUGCGAUAAGUUCCAGGUGCCUCUUGCAUCUUUAUUCGCCGAUCAGGUGGACCAAAAUGUUGAAGUGGCUAAAGUGAUGAGCGAUAUCGCAGAACAGCUGCUGAGAAAAAGAGACCCGAAGCAAGCCCUGGAAGCAAUACUGGGGGACAGUGCCCCAAAAUUCUUUAAAUCCCUUCGUGUGCCCGAUUGGACGUUGCUUUACUUCAAGCUGCAGUCCCGGAUCCCAGACCAAGGAUGGCAAACCUUGUUGAACUUUACAAAGUUAGGGCGAACUAAGGUUGAAAUCCUGGCAUAAUUGUAUGCCUGAGUGCUUCUGGGAUAUCUAACAUCGGCAUCAUGACAUCACGUCAAUGUGAAUUUUGGAGACAUGCAUGCCGAAAGAUUUGGUAAGUGUUUAUUAUUAUUGUAUUUGGUUAUGCCUACAAGUCCAAGGUGUGCUAUGCUUAUUAUUUAUUGUUAGAGUGCCAUUUUUUUUCUCAAGAGUACAUAUAUCUGACUUUCAAAAUCCCACUGGUCUAACAAAAUUUUUUAUGAUUAUUUUGAUUCUAGUUCUCAAAUUUCUUUUUAAAUUUCAUCCUUUCGUAUGUGUAGCAACUGAACUAAAUGAGAAAUUGUUUCCAAUCUACAGCAUUAUGUUGAGCAAUUAAUUUUGUUACUUAAAUGUUUGACCACAGUUGCAGUUUUGUCAAACAUGACCAAACUGGCUGGCAUUUUCCUGAAGACCGACUGUCAGUUCUAGCUCAUUAUUUCUUAUAUAAUACUGGUAAAUGCUCAGUCAUAUUGAUCAUUGAAGUGCUUGCCAUAUGCACUAUUCCUUGUGUUGUCCUUUAUGUAAAUCGCAUACUUAUGUCAUCACUGCAACACACUUAUUAAAAUUAUUGCAUAUGAACGAGUCAGGAAAGUUUUUUAGAGAUUGGGGAACUCACACUGACACACUUGACAUUGCCAGUACAGGUCUGCUACAGCAGGAGUUAGAUACUAAGCUACAGUUCUGGAAAACAAAACAACAGGAAGUUGUUGCAAAGCUGUCCAUUCUUCGAAAAAACAAGAAGUACCCAAAGGAAGUCCAGAAUUAUGUUGCUCAGUAUCAACAGGAUGCCUACAAAAAUCGCACACUAUUACCUGGCUCAACACGGGAGAGAGAAGCUUUAUCCGGCAAUGUUUUGAAGAAAUGUUGCAAAAUGUCAAGCCUGGCUUAUUAAGCUUGGUAUUGGUUCCGGUAAACAUGGACAAUGUACAUUGGGGACUAAUGGUCCUCGAUGUAAAAAGCAAAGAAGCGUAUUUUGAUGAUGGCCUUGGAUAUUCUUUCUCCAAAACUUCUUAUGUCUUUCUUAUCAUGAGUGAGCUUCAGUCCAAGUUUCCAAUUUCGAAUGCCGAGACAACAGACAGAUGGCCAACUAAUUGGAAGCGGCAGUUGUGGCGUUGGGGUUAUUCUAGCGGCCCUUGAUUUUAUGACCUCUUCACAACCUCAAGUUGUUUCACGGUCGUGGAACUUCAGUGAGAUGACAGCACACAGGAAGGACAUAAUGAAACUGCUUGCUUGCCGGUAGUUUAUUCUCUUCGAAGCCAUAAGCCAGCUACAAGUUUGGCCAAAACG